CCACUUCCGCUCCGCCGGCGCAUGCGCGGUACGGCCGGGAGGCCCCGCCGUCCUAACGGCAAAGACACGCAACGGUAGGUAGGCGAGCGUGUGACCGCCCCAGCGCCGCGCUGCUGCCACCUGCUGGUCGGAACGCGGCACUGCAGGCGUCGCUCCGCACUCCGCGCUGUCCCGGAACGGGCCCGGCGGUGCCGAGCAGCCGCUGCCGCCCGUGGAAGUGCGGGCACUGCCCGUACACACACAGCCGCUAGCUCUUGCAUCUCCAAAGUCAGUCAGUCACCGGGCUACAACUUCUGCUUUUGACAUCGUAAUUAGACUUCAUUAAUGGAUAGCCGGAGGCUGCAAGAUGGAAACGCGGUAGAUGAACCUCCCUUUGCAUCUCUCAGUUAGUUCCACGCUUACCUUGGAAACAAAAGAUGCUGCACACCAUGGAAACCUUAUUUGUAUGUCCCAAAACAUGCAUUGGUGGACGCACUGUGAACACCCAUUGGAGGCUAUGAAACGAUCCUUCCCGUGACACAGAAGUUACCUUCCCUCCUCUCGCUGCUGGGACUUAAACACGACCCGUCCUUUUCACCACAUUGCAGACUUGAGAUCCUUCAGACCUUCUGGGGAAGGAGUUUACAGAGUGCUGCCUUCUGGGUCUGGGAAAAACACCCGGCUGGGCCUCCUGACCCCCCGUUGGUGCUGAGCAUCAGAGACCUCCACCCCUCCCGGGGGAUGCAGCUCCAUCUGCACAGAGGUCUGUCAGCACCACCCCUUUGGGGAAGCGAUUUUCUCACACAGGUCAUUGAUAUCAUAACACGGAGCCAUUAAUAAUCGAAUGUAAAACGUGCUUCCAAUUACACCGAGGGCUUUCCGUUCGGUAAUGGCUUUCAACGGCCAUUUGUAACGCCAACGCUGUAUAAUCGCUGCUAAUAAAUGCGCAGGUAGCAGACCA
This is a long non-coding RNA of Gallus gallus (chicken), 940 nucleotides long. RefSeq lists it as uncharacterized. The transcript is spliced from 2 exons. NCBI's taxonomy places the organism in Eukaryota, Metazoa, Chordata, Aves, Galliformes, Phasianidae. The record is from RefSeq and is a predicted model, not a curated record.